UAGGGAAUCUUGCACAAUGGGCGAGAGCCUGAUGCAGCGACGCCGCGUGAAGGAUGAAGGCCUUCGGGUUGUAAACUUCUGUUCUAAGGGAAGAAACAAAUGACGGUACCUUAGGAGCAAGCCCCGGCUAACUACGUGCCAGCAGCCGCGGUAAUACGUAGGGGGCAAGCGUUAUCCGGAAUUAUUGGGCGUAAAGAGUGCGUAGGUGGUUACCUAAGCGCAAGGUUUAAUUUAGAGGCUCAACCUCUACUUGCCUUGCGAACUGGGCUACUUGAGUGCAGGAGGGGAAAGCGGAAUUCCUAGUGUAGCGGUGAAAUGCGUAGAUAUUAGGAGGAACACCAGCGGCGAAGGCGGCUUUCUGGACUGUAACUGACACUGAGGCACGAAAGCGUGGGUAGCAAACAGGAUUAGAUACCCUGGUAGUCCACGCCGUAAACGAUGGGCACUAGGUGUUGGGCCCGUUAGGGCUCAGUGCCGCAGUUAACGCAAUAAGUGCUCCGCCUGGGGAGUACGCUCGCAAGAGUA
This 525-nucleotide ribosomal RNA is filed under the name uncultured bacterium. RNAcentral's name for it is "bacterial SSU rRNA". It matches the Rfam family "Bacterial small subunit ribosomal RNA", at positions 355 to 896 of the family's 1533-position model. The record is from RNAcentral.